UCCCCAGCAGGCCUGCGGCCGCCAGAGGGCGACGCCACCCAGCUUGCGGCCACUCACGUCUCCGCACUGCUGGGUGUCCGCGGCCAGGACGCUGGCGACCGUCUUGGUGACGGCGACAUUGGCAGGCUUGGAGCAGGCGCCGAGAAGAACAGAGUUGGAGGGAAUCAUUGCUGUGAGAAGCUGACAGAGGUGGAUGACAAGCUUGAAUUUCCAGAGGAAAUAGGUUCUGGAAAAGAAGUGAAAUCAUUAGAAAGGUGUUCUAAGCAUGUUUCUAGCCUGAAGGGGAGCAGCAAUCAUCAGCAAUCUAAUAAUAAAACUAGUAUUCAAGAGUUCAGGCCGCGAACCAAGUAAGAACUCAAGAAUCUAAGACACUUAAAAAUCAUAAAGAGAAGCAGAAGAAGAGAAAAUCCAAAGAUAAGUUUAUAGAAUGUGGAAUGCCUUACAAGCAAAAUAACAAUUCAGUACAGUAUGUAUAAUCACAACUCACAGCAGAGCAACUGGUCUUGUGAAAGUAUGCUUAUGGGAAUGACAAAAGAUCUGAUAUUGGUAAAAGUAUGCUGAAAGUAAACUUACGUGAUAACCCAGCUUCACACAAUAGGAGUGGAAGUGUGACCAGGUUGAUUUGCCAGAAUAUGCUGACACAGACAGAAAGAAGAAGACAAGAGCUACAUCUCUUGGAGGAAACAAUUAGUGAUUAGGCCUCUAUGCUGAUUUGUAUCUGAAUCGGGUGAAGAAUGUAGGGAAGAUAAUUUGCCUUAUUGGUUUAUCUUAUUUUAAAUUUUUAUUAAAACACUCAGUGAUUUACUUAUGUGUUUUCUAUUCUGUUCAAUAAGAUUGCUCAGUUUUCUCUAGGUGCAUACUGUUUUAAACAAUUUGGCAGUUCUUCAUGGUAGAGCUUAUUCUUAUUAAGUGCUUUUGCCAGUUAUCAAAUAAAUGAUAUGCUUCUUAAAGUAAUGUCCUUUGGAGGUCAAAUGGUUGUCAAACGAAUUCUUUUAUCGUCUAAAUAAUAUGUCCUCAUAAUUUAAAAUUUAUUUCAGUGGCCAACCACAAAAUCACAUUAAUUGAUUAUUUCAAUAUUUGCAGUGCUUGAAAACAAUUGCUAUAGAGAAUGUCAAUCAAACACAAUAUUCUUUGAAAGAAUUAUGAGGCAAAAGCAGCCACUCUUCUCCAGUGAUUGCAUUUAUUAUUUAUUUAUAAUUUAAUUUUAAGAUAGUUCCAUGGGAAACAGUUAUUCAUUCUAACAAAGAGUAGAGAGAAUCAUAAAUAAUAUAAUGCAGUAAAUUAUGUGCAUAUUUAAAAAUAUUUAAGCAUAUAAAGCAAAAUGAGUUUAAUAUACUUCUAUGUAUGUAUAUUACUAUGAGGUUUACAUUAAUAGAACACUUUGCUCUUUAUUCUUUAUAUAAUACCUAUUUCCAUUAUGUAACCUCUUUUAUAAAAUUAAAUGACAACUAGCUCUGC
Molecule: long non-coding RNA, 1458 nt
Organism: Pongo pygmaeus (Bornean orangutan)
Lineage: Eukaryota; Metazoa; Chordata; Mammalia; Primates; Hominidae
Exons: 8
Source: RefSeq, a predicted model, not a curated record